Molecule: long non-coding RNA, 1351 nt
Filed under: Triticum aestivum (bread wheat)
Lineage: Eukaryota; Viridiplantae; Streptophyta; Magnoliopsida; Poales; Poaceae
Description: long non-coding RNA (TAES_LNC002822)
Source: RNAcentral
UCAAAUUUCCUCAAUUCAAAUUUCUUGAAUUUAAAUAUGAUGCAUGAUGCUCUCUAAUAUAAUUAUUAUAAGCAAAUAUUCUAGGGUUGUGCAACGUCCCCCUUUAUAUAUAAGGCAACCACAACAGAAGCACAACAAUCAACUGCAAAACAGAGGUCCACGGAAACAAAGAAAAGAAAAUAAAAAGGUACGGCACAAGCUGGGCACAACAGCUCAACAAGCCCACAAACGUGAAGUGCAUAAUAUAGCCUCGAGGGGGAUAAAUGAUCAUGAGAAGUCUAGUCGCCACGUCCGUGUGCUUCCUCGUCAAUCUGUCAAUGGCCACCUUGUCCUGUCACUUGGAGAGAGGCUUCCAAAGUUGCAAGAACCCACUGAGUUUGCAAAUCGAGUUCGUGGCCCUGGAAGGAAAUAUAAGUUCUGUUAGAGCUUUAUUCCAAUCACACCAAAGAGUCCAAGCCAAGGUACCAAAAUUGAUCCACAUCAGUCUACGAACCUGGCCAGUGCAAUUAUCAUCAACUGGUGCCAUUCGGGAAGGAGGUUGGGUACCAAUCAUUGUCCUAGACUUCCCAAAAGCAGCUCCACAUGAACUAGGCGGGCACGAAAUAAAAAGAACUAGCGGUUGGGGAGCCACCCGGUGGCGCCGCUUAAGAGGAAGCUGGGCGGUGCCAGGUGGGAGGCGCCCCUUCGGCUUUUUUCUUGUCACACAUGCAUAUACAACUGAAAACCUUGUUAAUCAAUGACCAUAAAGCAGGCCAAAUCCCUUGAGAGUAGUCAUCCAAAUCAUUAGAGCUGAAAGCGGAUUGGGAGCCAAAUGAGUUCAAACUACUUGAUGGACUAAACAUCUAGAAACAAGCAUUUCAUCCACAUCUGGAACUUAAGAGGGAUCUACUGACCAACGUCAAUAGCUUCUUGUCUAACCAAAGAGAAAACAUACAAGGGUAGCAGAUCAUAGAAAUUAUAUUGAUGUUAACAGGCAGAAACCUUCUACCUUCUUAACGAAAAGAAAGCUAAAAUCUUCAGGCAGGGCAUACUUUCAUUCUUUUAACAAUAUAUCGAUCGUUCCUGUAAAGAGCAAGCACAUGACCAAUUAGAUAUGUACCAUCAUCAUUCAAUUCAUGUUUCCUAGAAACAAAUAACAAAGAACAAAUAAGAUUACUUUCAGUGUAGGAGGCAAUCCUUCCAUUUUUUAUAGAAAAUGCAAAACAGUACAUGAUACUGAAAUAAUAUGUUCUGCAACUACCGAUUUUCUCAAAAGAGUAAAAUAACCAGGGUAAUGUUGAACAUGCAUGUGCAAUUAGAACAAGCAUGCAUUCUUGACUAACAAUGAGACUUACAGUUGGCACAACACUNN